UGACCCGGACGUGAAUUGAACACGCAACCUUCUGAUCUGGAGUAAGACGCGCUACCGUUGUGCCACUGAGCC
Molecule: transfer RNA, 72 nt
Filed under: Araneus ventricosus
Lineage: Eukaryota; Metazoa; Arthropoda; Arachnida; Araneae; Araneidae
Description: tRNA-Trp
Source: RNAcentral